This 557-nucleotide long non-coding RNA is filed under the name Homo sapiens (human). RNAcentral describes it as "non-protein coding lnc-TTLL10-2:1". The record is from RNAcentral. Lineage: Eukaryota; Metazoa; Chordata; Mammalia; Primates; Hominidae.
UUGUUUCCUGGCCCAGGCUCCCAGGACCUUGUGGGCUGGGCAGGUCGUGCACCAAGUUUCCACGCCGCCUUUACACCGUGUCCCCACCGAGGGGCGUCACAACCGUCCUCCACACCGGGCGUCACCGGCUUCCCAAGUCCCACCGCUAUAAAGGACACGUCAGUCAGCAUCUCGGAGUGAGACGCUUUCCUUCUGGAUUCAGAAUCGCGUCCGUCAGAGACUCCAAAGCACAUUUGCUAGAUCGACAGGCGUGAGGAGCCAGCGGCUCCCGGCGCUUGGGAGGCUGCGUCCCACCUGCAUUCAGGCCCCGGGUUCACCACACACACAGCGGGCAGCUGCUUAAGAAACCUUUGAUUUCAGUCCGGGGCGGUGGCUCACGCCUGUAAUCCCAGCACUUUGGGAGGCCGAGGUGGGCGGAUCACGAGGUCAGGAGUUUGAGACCAGCCUGGUCAACAUGGAGAAACCCUGUCUCUACUAAAAAUACAAAAAUUAGCCGGGCAUGGCAGCAGGCGCCUGUAAUCCCAGCUACUCAGGAGGCUGAGGCGGGAGAAUUGUUU